CCAGAUCAUGAAUUAGUAACUGCAUCCAAUCUCCAAAAAAAUCCCAAUUGUUUCGAACUUUUUUUUUUUUUGAAAUGGAAUAUUUACGAAAUCCCCAUAAAUAGGAUGAUCACCUCUUUCUUAUUCUUAAGCAAGUCCCCGAGAGGGCUUAAUUGAUCCAUGAUUUAUGUUUCAUCUUUCACUUCCUUUUCCUUUGUUUCGAGAAAUAUAGCGAUCAAUUCCGAUUCUUUCUUUUUUUUAUUGAUUCUUUUCCGAUCGAGAUGUAUGGCUCCAUGAGUCUAUGUGUCUAUAUAGAUC
RNAcentral lists this long non-coding RNA (297 nucleotides) under Ricinus communis (castor bean). Its description in RNAcentral is "long non-coding RNA (RCOM_LNC001242)". Lineage: Eukaryota; Viridiplantae; Streptophyta; Magnoliopsida; Malpighiales; Euphorbiaceae. The record is from RNAcentral.